RNAcentral lists this ribosomal RNA (274 nucleotides) under uncultured bacterium. RNAcentral describes it as "partial 16S ribosomal RNA". It matches the Rfam family "Bacterial small subunit ribosomal RNA", at positions 523 to 796 of the family's 1533-position model. The record is from RNAcentral.
AUACGGAGGGGGCUAGCGUUGUUCGGAAUUACUGGGCGUAAAGCGCGCGUAGGCGGUCCGCGUAGUCAGGCGUGAAAGCCCUGGGCUCAACCUGGGAACUGCGCUUAAUACUGGUAGACUUGAGUCCGGGAGAGGGUGGCGGAAUUCCCAGUGUAGAGGUGAAAUUCGUAGAUAUUGGGAAGAACACCAGUGGCGAAGGCGGCCACCUGGCCCGGUACUGACGCUGAGGUGCGAAAGCGUGGGGAGCAAACAGGAUUAGAAACCCCAGUAGUCC